GUAUAUGGCUGUCCUGCCCAGAAUGUGCUUGAUCUUGUCUGAUCUUGGAAGUUAAGCAGGGUCAAGGCUAGAUAGUACUUGGAUGAGAGACCUUGGAAAUACUGGGUGCUCUAUGCC
Molecule: ribosomal RNA, 117 nt
Filed under: Rattus norvegicus (Norway rat)
Lineage: Eukaryota; Metazoa; Chordata; Mammalia; Rodentia; Muridae
Source: RNAcentral